Molecule: ribosomal RNA, 609 nt
Filed under: uncultured bacterium
Lineage: Bacteria
Description: bacterial SSU rRNA
Rfam family: Bacterial small subunit ribosomal RNA
Source: RNAcentral
CCUACGGGAGGCAGCAGUAAGGAAUAUUGGUCAAUGGACGAAAGUCUGAACCAGCCAUGCCGCGUGAAGGAUUAGGCCCUCUGGGUUGUAAACUUCUUUUACCUGGGACGAAAAAAGGGUAGUCUUACUCACUUGACGGUACCAGAGGAAUAAGCACCGGCUAACUCCGUGCCAGCAGCCGCGGUAAUACGGAGGGUGCAAGCGUUAUCCGGAUUUACUGGGUUUAAAGGGUGCGUAGGUGGGCUUGUAAGUCAGUGGUGAAAUCUCCGGGCUUAACCCGGAAACUGCCAUUGAUACUAUAGGUCUUGAAUUAUCUGGAGGUAAGCGGAAUAUGUCAUGUAGCGGUGAAAUGCUUAGAUAUGACAUAGAACACCAAUUGCGAAGGCAGCUUACUACGGAUACAUUGACACUGAGGCACGAAAGCGUGGGGAUCAAACAGGAUUAGAUACCCUGGUAGUCCACGCCCUAAACGAUGGAUACUCGACAUCAGCGAUACACUGUUGGUGUCUGAGCGAAAGCAUUAAGUAUCCCACCUGGGAAGUACGAUCGCAAGAUUGAAACUUAAAUGAAUUGACGGCUGAGAGNGCGAGACGACGACGAGGGAGGAGG